UACAGAGGAGCCAAGCGUUGUCCGGAUUGACUGGGCGUAAAGCGCACGCAGGCGGCACCGCGCGUGGGGUGUGAAAUCUGGCCGCUUAACGGCCAGGCGCCAUCCCAUACGGCGGAGCUGGAGUGAUGCAGAGGUCGAUGGAAUUGCCGGUGUAGUGGUGAAAUGCGUAGAGAUCGGCAGGAACACCCAGGGGGAAACCAGUCGACUGGGCAUCUACUGACGCUGAGGUGCGAGAGCGUGGGGAGCGAACAGG
Molecule: ribosomal RNA, 253 nt
Filed under: uncultured bacterium
Lineage: Bacteria
Description: partial 16S ribosomal RNA
Rfam family: Bacterial small subunit ribosomal RNA
Source: RNAcentral